GUUUGAUCCUGGCUCAGAUUGAACGCUGGCGGCGUGCCUAACACAUGCAAGUCGAGCGGUAACAGGUGUAGCAAUACAUGCUGACGAGCGGCGAACGGGUGAGUAAUGCUUUGGAAUCUUCCCAGUAGUGGGGAAUAACCAGUCGAAAGAUUGGCUAAUACCGCAUACGUCUGUAAAGGGAAAGCGGGGGCUCGUAAGACCUCGCGCUAUUGGAUGAGCCAAAGUCGGAUUAGCUAGUUGGUGGGGUAAUGGCCUACCAAGGCGACAAUCCGUAGCUGGUCUGAGAGGACGACCAGCCACACCGGAACUGAGACACGGUCCGGACUCCUACGGGAGGCAGCAGUGGGGAAUAUCGGACAAUGGGGGAAACCCUGAUCCAGCGACGCCGCGUGUGUGAAGAAGGCCUGCGGGUUGUAAAGCACUUUUAGUGGGGACAAAAAGCUACGGACUAAUAUUCUGUGGUCUUGAUUUAACCCAAAGAAAAAGCACCGGCUAACUCUGUGCCAGCAGCCGCGGUAAUACAGAGGGUGCGAGCGUUAAUCGGAAUUACUGGGCGUAAAGCGCGCGUAGACGGUUUUGUAAGUCAGAUGUGAAAUCCCUGGGCUCAACCUGGGAACUGCAUUUGAAACUGCAUGGCUAGAGUAUCGAAGAGGGAAGUGGAAUUUCCGGUGUAGCGGUGAAAUGCGUAGAUAUCGGAAGGAACACCAGUGGCGAAAGCGACUUCCUGGUCGAAUACUGACGUUCAUGUGCGAAAGCGUGGGGAGCAAACAGGAUUAGAUACCCUGGUAGUCCACGCCAUAAACGAUGACAACUAGAUGUUGGGAGGGUCUGCCUCUCGGUGUCGCAGCUAACGCGUUAAGUUGUCCGCCUGGGGAGUA
Molecule: ribosomal RNA, 878 nt
Filed under: uncultured Pseudomonadota bacterium
Lineage: Bacteria; Pseudomonadati; Pseudomonadota
Description: bacterial SSU rRNA
Rfam family: Bacterial small subunit ribosomal RNA
Source: RNAcentral